This is a long non-coding RNA of Pangasianodon hypophthalmus (striped catfish), 494 nucleotides long. RefSeq lists it as uncharacterized. The transcript is spliced from 2 exons. Lineage: Eukaryota; Metazoa; Chordata; Actinopteri; Siluriformes; Pangasiidae. The record is from RefSeq and is a predicted model, not a curated record.
GGAGGUAAAAAUUAUAUACCCUGCAUCAGAAGUGCAAUGUUUUAAAAAGAGAAUUUGAGGGUGGUGUGCACCACAAGGAUAAUGGCAACCUGUUGUAAAGCAUCGCAACAUGCCACACAGAGGACGCUCCUGAAGAUGGUGCUUGAAUCACCAUUCACAUGAGAGGAUGACAUACAAAUGCCAAAGGAUCGUAUGACUAGGCAGCACAAAGAAGAGAAAAAAGAACACAUUUUGGGUUUACGCUCCCAUUUUCCAUUUUGGAUGAAAAUGGUCUCAACACACAACCUAGUGUGGUGUUUUGUGGAACGAAGGAUGUCAGCAAACUCUUCACGGUCAAUGAAUCCAUCUCCGUUCCUGUUUUUUCAUACCACAAAGAACAGCAAUGAAACCCCACAGAAAGAACACAUCCUUAGUAUAACCUAGUCACUGGAAACCGCUCCAUUUUAUAAAACUAAUCAGAGAUGGAAGGAAUUAAAGAGUUUCACAUUUUUGAA